This 72-nucleotide transfer RNA is filed under the name Cheumatopsyche lepida. RNAcentral describes it as "tRNA-Ala". The record is from RNAcentral. Lineage: Eukaryota; Metazoa; Arthropoda; Insecta; Trichoptera; Hydropsychidae.
AGGAUUAUAGUUUAAUUUCACAAAACAAUUAAUUUGCAUUUAAAAAAAAUUGAAUUCUGUCAAUUAAUCUUA